Long non-coding RNA from Haliotis rufescens (red abalone), 402 nucleotides. RefSeq lists it as uncharacterized. Lineage: Eukaryota; Metazoa; Mollusca; Gastropoda; Lepetellida; Haliotidae. The transcript has 3 exons. The record is from RefSeq and is a predicted model, not a curated record.
GUUAAUGUUCUGAUUAAAUCGGCCAUCAUCGGGUGUGGAAGAGAUCAGGUAAACAAACACAGCGCCCCCUGGUGGAGACAUUAUCAAGCCUGCGGUGCCGCGUUACCUGCCGAUCUAGUACAGAUGGAUUGAUCUCAAGAACAGAACACUGGCCCUUGGCAAGAUAAACUGACACCUUACCUACAAUGCUGCCCAACUGAAACAGUACAAGUGUGUGUGUUGGUUGUUUACUGAUGCACACAGCAAUCCAGUUGUGAUCAGCACAGGCGGCUAGAGACCUAGACUAUCAAUUUGCCUCCCACCUCUCUGAUCACACUGUAUCCAGAAGAUGCAAGUCUUUUCAUAUCUCGCUGGUCCGCUGAUAGCCGCCGCACCUCCUGCUGAUGCAUGCUGGGACUUCAG